RNAcentral lists this ribosomal RNA (2930 nucleotides) under Escherichia coli. RNAcentral describes it as "23S ribosomal RNA". It matches the Rfam family "Bacterial large subunit ribosomal RNA". Lineage: Bacteria; Pseudomonadati; Pseudomonadota; Gammaproteobacteria; Enterobacterales; Enterobacteriaceae. The record is from RNAcentral.
GGGUUGUGAGGUUAAGCGACUAAGCGUACACGGUGGAUGCCCUGGCAGUCAGAGGCGAUGAAGGACGUGCUAAUCUGCGAUAAGCGUCGGUAAGGUGAUAUGAACCGUUAUAACCGGCGAUUUCCGAAUGGGGAAACCCAGUGUGUUUCGACACACUAUCAUUAACUGAAUCCAUAGGUUAAUGAGGCGAACCGGGGGAACUGAAACAUCUAAGUACCCCGAGGAAAAGAAAUCAACCGAGAUUCCCCCAGUAGCGGCGAGCGAACGGGGAGCAGCCCAGAGCCUGAAUCAGUGUGUGUGUUAGUGGAAGCGUCUGGAAAGGCGCGCGAUACAGGGUGACAGCCCCGUACACAAAAAUGCACAUGCUGUGAGCUCGAUGAGUAGGGCGGGACACGUGGUAUCCUGUCUGAAUAUGGGGGGACCAUCCUCCAAGGCUAAAUACUCCUGACUGACCGAUAGUGAACCAGUACCGUGAGGGAAAGGCGAAAAGAACCCCGGCGAGGGGAGUGAAAAAGAACCUGAAACCGUGUACGUACAAGCAGUGGGAGCACGCUUAGGCGUGUGACUGCGUACCUUUUGUAUAAUGGGUCAGCGACUUAUAUUCUGUAGCAAGGUUAACCGAAUAGGGGAGCCGAAGGGAAACCGAGUCUUAACUGGGCGUUAAGUUGCAGGGUAUAGACCCGAAACCCGGUGAUCUAGCCAUGGGCAGGUUGAAGGUUGGGUAACACUAACUGGAGGACCGAACCGACUAAUGUUGAAAAAUUAGCGGAUGACUUGUGGCUGGGGGUGAAAGGCCAAUCAAACCGGGAGAUAGCUGGUUCUCCCCGAAAGCUAUUUAGGUAGCGCCUCGUGAAUUCAUCUCCGGGGGUAGAGCACUGUUUCGGCAAGGGGGUCAUCCCGACUUACCAACCCGAUGCAAACUGCGAAUACCGGAGAAUGUUAUCACGGGAGACACACGGCGGGUGCUAACGUCCGUCGUGAAGAGGGAAACAACCCAGACCGCCAGCUAAGGUCCCAAAGUCAUGGUUAAGUGGGAAACGAUGUGGGAAGGCCCAGACAGCCAGGAUGUUGGCUUAGAAGCAGCCAUCAUUUAAAGAAAGCGUAAUAGCUCACUGGUCGAGUCGGCCUGCGCGGAAGAUGUAACGGGGCUAAACCAUGCACCGAAGCUGCGGCAGCGACGCUUAUGCGUUGUUGGGUAGGGGAGCGUUCUGUAAGCCUGCGAAGGUGUGCUGUGAGGCAUGCUGGAGGUAUCAGAAGUGCGAAUGCUGACAUAAGUAACGAUAAAGCGGGUGAAAAGCCCGCUCGCCGGAAGACCAAGGGUUCCUGUCCAACGUUAAUCGGGGCAGGGUGAGUCGACCCCUAAGGCGAGGCCGAAAGGCGUAGUCGAUGGGAAACAGGUUAAUAUUCCUGUACUUGGUGUUACUGCGAAGGGGGGACGGAGAAGGCUAUGUUGGCCGGGCGACGGUUGUCCCGGUUUAAGCGUGUAGGCUGGUUUUCCAGGCAAAUCCGGAAAAUCAAGGCUGAGGCGUGAUGACGAGGCACUACGGUGCUGAAGCAACAAAUGCCCUGCUUCCAGGAAAAGCCUCUAAGCAUCAGGUAACAUCAAAUCGUACCCCAAACCGACACAGGUGGUCAGGUAGAGAAUACCAAGGCGCUUGAGAGAACUCGGGUGAAGGAACUAGGCAAAAUGGUGCCGUAACUUCGGGAGAAGGCACGCUGAUAUGUAGGUGAGGUCCCUCGCGGAUGGAGCUGAAAUCAGUCGAAGAUACCAGCUGGCUGCAACUGUUUAUUAAAAACACAGCACUGUGCAAACACGAAAGUGGACGUAUACGGUGUGACGCCUGCCCGGUGCCGGAAGGUUAAUUGAUGGGGUUAGCGCAAGCGAAGCUCUUGAUCGAAGCCCCGGUAAACGGCGGCCGUAACUAUAACGGUCCUAAGGUAGCGAAAUUCCUUGUCGGGUAAGUUCCGACCUGCACGAAUGGCGUAAUGAUGGCCAGGCUGUCUCCACCCGAGACUCAGUGAAAUUGAACUCGCUGUGAAGAUGCAGUGUACCCGCGGCAAGACGGAAAGACCCCGUGAACCUUUACUAUAGCUUGACACUGAACAUUGAGCCUUGAUGUGUAGGAUAGGUGGGAGGCUUAGAAGUGUGGACGCCAGUCUGCAUGGAGCCGACCUUGAAAUACCACCCUUUAAUGUUUGAUGUUCUAACGUUGACCCGUAAUCCGGGUUGCGGACAGUGUCUGGUGGGUAGUUUGACUGGGGCGGUCUCCUCCUAAAGAGUAACGGAGGAGCACGAAGGUUGGCUAAUCCUGGUCGGACAUCAGGAGGUUAGUGCAAUGGCAUAAGCCAGCUUGACUGCGAGCGUGACGGCGCGAGCAGGUGCGAAAGCAGGUCAUAGUGAUCCGGUGGUUCUGAAUGGAAGGGCCAUCGCUCAACGGAUAAAAGGUACUCCGGGGAUAACAGGCUGAUACCGCCCAAGAGUUCAUAUCGACGGCGGUGUUUGGCACCUCGAUGUCGGCUCAUCACAUCCUGGGGCUGAAGUAGGUCCCAAGGGUAUGGCUGUUCGCCAUUUAAAGUGGUACGCGAGCUGGGUUUAGAACGUCGUGAGACAGUUCGGUCCCUAUCUGCCGUGGGCGCUGGAGAACUGAGGGGGGCUGCUCCUAGUACGAGAGGACCGGAGUGGACGCAUCACUGGUGUUCGGGUUGUCAUGCCAAUGGCACUGCCCGGUAGCUAAAUGCGGAAGAGAUAAGUGCUGAAAGCAUCUAAGCACGAAACUUGCCCCGAGAUGAGUUCUCCCUGACCCUUUAAGGGUCCUGAAGGAACGUUGAAGACGACGACGUUGAUAGGCCGGGUGUGUAAGCGCAGCGAUGCGUUGAGCUAACCGGUACUAAUGAACCGUGAGGCUUAACCUUACAACGCCGAAGCUGUU